Molecule: ribosomal RNA, 501 nt
Filed under: uncultured bacterium
Lineage: Bacteria
Description: bacterial SSU rRNA
Rfam family: Bacterial small subunit ribosomal RNA
Source: RNAcentral
UGAGAGUUUGAUCCUGGCUCAGGACGAACGCUGGCGGCGUGCUUAACACAUGCAAGUCGAGGGCACUAUUGGGGCAACCUGGUAGUGACCGGCGACCGGGUGAGUAACACGUGACUAACCUACCCUUGAAUGGGGAAUAACCUUCCGAAAGGAGGGCUAAUACCGCAUAAAGUCCUAAGGAUGAAACGCCUAAGGACCAAAGGAGCAAUUCGUUUAAGGAGGGGGUCGCGGUUGAUUAGCUAGUUGGUGGGGUAAUGGCCCACCAAGGCGAUGAUCAAUAGCCGGCCUGAGAGGGCGCACGGCCACACUGGAACUGAAACACGGUCCAGACUCCUACGGGAGGCAGCAGUGGGGAAUUUUGCGCAAUGGGGGAAACCCUGACGCAGCAACGCCGCGUGAAGGAUGAAGGUCUUUGGAUUGUAAACUUCUUUCGAUCGGGAAGAUAAUGACGGUACCGAGAGAAGAAGCCCCGGCUAACUUCGUGCCAGCAGCCGCGGUAAU